AAACUAAACACGUAGAAUUUGGCAGCCGCUCAAGAAGAACCAAAUCCACUUCAACCCCAGCAGCCGGAAAACAUCGCCGGAGGCGAAGGUACAGGCGGCAGACAAGGGGCUUAAAGUUCGGCGGAAGUGUCAUCGGAGUUGGUUUGGAGGCAAGAACUUUGGGAAGUAAAACUAGGAGUUGGUAUUUAUGCGAUAAGUGUGAUCUGAGGACUAAAGUCAUCAAAGAUUCAAAGGAUUACUGGAUUUAAGGAGAUCGAGGAAACGCAGUAGACGUUUAGCUUUGUUUGCACUGCUAUCGAGGUGAGUACAUAGAUGGUGGCCAGCUUCUCGAGGCGUGAGCGGUGUCCCCAUGGAUACAGUUGUGGUUUAUGGGUAGCAUAGGGUUUGAUUAUUAAAGACUUCCGCUUUGUUAAAUUUUAAAGACUUAUUAAUUAUCUCUCAAUGGAUUUCUAAAUGCAUUUUAUUCAUUUUUUUUGGGAUUAUAUUAAAUGAUUUUGGAGGAUUUACAUGGACAGUUUAUGGUUUG
This is a long non-coding RNA of Tripterygium wilfordii, 526 nucleotides long. RefSeq lists it as uncharacterized. Lineage: Eukaryota; Viridiplantae; Streptophyta; Magnoliopsida; Celastrales; Celastraceae. The transcript has 4 exons. The record is from RefSeq and is a predicted model, not a curated record.